This 1384-nucleotide ribosomal RNA is filed under the name Staphylococcus aureus. RNAcentral's name for it is "bacterial SSU rRNA". It matches the Rfam family "Bacterial small subunit ribosomal RNA", at positions 164 to 1533 of the family's 1533-position model. The record is from RNAcentral. Lineage: Bacteria; Bacillati; Bacillota; Bacilli; Caryophanales; Staphylococcaceae.
UAAUACCGGAUAAUAUUUUGAACCGCAUGGUUCAAAAGUGAAAGACGGUCUUGCUGUCACUUAUAGAUGGAUCCGCGCUGCAUUAGCUAGUUGGUAAGGUAACGGCUUACCAAGGCAACGAUGCAUAGCCGACCUGAGAGGGUGAUCGGCCACACUGGAACUGAGACACGGUCCAGACUCCUACGGGAGGCAGCAGUAGGGAAUCUUCCGCAAUGGGCGAAAGCCUGACGGAGCAACGCCGCGUGAGUGAUGAAGGUCUUCGGAUCGUAAAACUCUGUUAUUAGGGAAGAACAUAUGUGUAAGUAACUGUGCACAUCUUGACGGUACCUAAUCAGAAAGCCACGGCUAACUACGUGCCAGCAGCCGCGGUAAUACGUAGGUGGCAAGCGUUAUCCGGAAUUAUUGGGCGUAAAGCGCGCGUAGGCGGUUUUUUAAGUCUGAUGUGAAAGCCCACGGCUCAACCGUGGAGGGUCAUUGGAAACUGGAAAACUUGAGUGCAGAAGAGGAAAGUGGAAUUCCAUGUGUAGCGGUGAAAUGCGCAGAGAUAUGGAGGAACACCAGUGGCGAAGGCGACUUUCUGGUCUGUAACUGACGCUGAUGUGCGAAAGCGUGGGGAUCAAACAGGAUUAGAUACCCUGGUAGUCCACGCCGUAAACGAUGAGUGCUAAGUGUUAGGGGGUUUCCGCCCCUUAGUGCUGCAGCUAACGCAUUAAGCACUCCGCCUGGGGAGUACGACCGCAAGGUUGAAACUCAAAGGAAUUGACGGGGACCCGCACAAGCGGUGGAGCAUGUGGUUUAAUUCGAAGCAACGCGAAGAACCUUACCAAAUCUUGACAUCCUUUGACAACUCUAGAGAUAGAGCCUUCCCCUUCGGGGGACAAAGUGACAGGUGGUGCAUGGUUGUCGUCAGCUCGUGUCGUGAGAUGUUGGGUUAAGUCCCGCAACGAGCGCAACCCUUAAGCUUAGUUGCCAUCAUUAAGUUGGGCACUCUAAGUUGACUGCCGGUGACAAACCGGAGGAAGGUGGGGAUGACGUCAAAUCAUCAUGCCCCUUAUGAUUUGGGCUACACACGUGCUACAAUGGACAAUACAAAGGGCAGCGAAACCGCGAGGUCAAGCAAAUCCCAUAAAGUUGUUCUCAGUUCGGAUUGUAGUCUGCAACUCGACUACAUGAAGCUGGAAUCGCUAGUAAUCGUAGAUCAGCAUGCUACGGUGAAUACGUUCCCGGGUCUUGUACACACCGCCCGUCACACCACGAGAGUUUGUAACACCCGAAGCCGGUGGAGUAACCUUUUAGGAGCUAGCCGUCGAAGGUGGGACAAAUGAUUGGGGUGAAGUCGUAACAAGGUAGCCGUAUCGGAAGGUGCGGCUGGAUCACCUCCUUU